UACCUCCCUCGUCCCUAGGCCCACCACAACCAUUUGGGUGUGGCUUCUUUCCUUAUUUAUAAUGCAUUUUACCAACUUUAAACUUCACAACGCCCUACGUUUCUUGCUGGUUCUUCUUCUUCUUCCUUGAACUCUCUGAAGUGAAAGUUCUUUGCUUCAAUAAUGGCUUCCUUUCCUUGCUUCAACCCUUUUCCCUUCCUUCUCUUCCAAGUAAUUCUAACUCUCUCUUGCCCAAUUAGCUUCCAAUUAGAAACCCUCCUUCUACUUCACGUAGAGAGACCAUCACCAUGACCCCUGCAAGUCUUGUCCAGCAAAAAAUCAGGCAAAGGUUUCCACUCCAAGAAACCAUACCAAAAGUUGGAGCAUGCCUCUGAGAAGUCCAAAAAGCAUAAGCAUGGAGAUCAAGUUCAAGUUCCAGAAGGUUAUAUGGCUCUGUACGUGGGGGAAGAGCGAAGAAGAAAGUAUAAAGUUUCUUUGAAGUGUCUCUCUUGUCCAGCUUUCCAAGAAGAGAUCAUCAAGUCGCAGCCGGAUGCGUUUGAUGCCAAGACUGAAGGGCCUUUUCCGCUUUUAUCACAUUCAACCACCCCACUAUUACUUGCCAAAACAAUCGCAAGCUUGGAAAGAGCCGCAGUUUCUGCCCUGCUAACGAUCCUGAUCAGGCCUGGUAUAUUUCUAUCAUCAUGCAUGCUUUAUAAUUGAGUUGCUGCUGGCCUGGCUGAUCUGCUUGUGUGGGUCAUGAAAGUGGUUCCUGUGCAAACUCAGACGUAUUAUGCUGUAUAGAAGAACAAGCAACAAAUGCUGUUUUUGCAGCUACUCUUUGUUCUUGCAUCGCUUUUCUUUUUCCAUUUUUAUUUUCAUAUUUAUCCUGCAGGUUUUUAUAUGCUUUUUAUUCAUAUGUGAAGGAGCCAGUACGGCAGCCUGAUCAUGAAUCUGAGUUGACGUGUUCUUUUUGGACUGAAAGCAAGAUUCAUUAAACUUGAACAAAAAGACAAUUGGGCCAGUACAGAUGAAAAGGAUCCUAUUACUGUUCCAGUACAGAUGGAACUGCCUACAAAUUAACUUGUCCGAUGUCCUUGACCAAGCCACGUACUAUUGAUUGUCUUAUGAUAUAAUAUUCUUACUGUUCUUGA
This is a non-coding RNA of Prunus mume (Japanese apricot), 1130 nucleotides long. The record is from RefSeq and is a predicted model, not a curated record. NCBI's taxonomy places the organism in Eukaryota, Viridiplantae, Streptophyta, Magnoliopsida, Rosales, Rosaceae.